RNAcentral lists this long non-coding RNA (236 nucleotides) under Capsicum annuum. RNAcentral's name for it is "long non-coding RNA (CANN_LNC017549)". Lineage: Eukaryota; Viridiplantae; Streptophyta; Magnoliopsida; Solanales; Solanaceae. The record is from RNAcentral.
CCUUUUAUUUCUAAAGAAAUGUAUUUUUUACAAUUGUUGUAUGGUUGUAAGUUAUUGGAUAUAGUGGCCGAGUUAGGAUUUUCACUAGGGGUUAAAAAUAUGAAGAUGAAACAUACGAAGUCAUCGAAAGGUUGUUUAACAUCACCAAUUUUAUGUUGUUCUUUGUUCUGUUUUAUUUCUAAUAUGAACUUUUGUUUAUAAAGAAAUGUUUUUUGCACUUGUUAUAUGGCUGUAGG